RNAcentral lists this ribosomal RNA (760 nucleotides) under Bacillus subtilis. RNAcentral's name for it is "bacterial SSU rRNA". It matches the Rfam family "Bacterial small subunit ribosomal RNA", at positions 594 to 1349 of the family's 1533-position model. The record is from RNAcentral. Lineage: Bacteria; Bacillati; Bacillota; Bacilli; Caryophanales; Bacillaceae.
UGAAAAGCCCCCGGCUCAACCGGGGAGGGUCAUUUGGAAAACUGGGGAAACUUUGAGUGCAGAAGAGGAGAGUGGAAUUUCCACGUGUAGCGGUGAAAUGCGUAGAGAUGUGGAGGAACACCAGUGGCGAAGGCGACUCUCUGGUCUGUAACUGACGCUGAGGAGCGAAAGCGUGGGGAGCGAACAGGAUUAGAUACCCUGGUAGUCCACGCCGUAAACGAUGAGUGCUAAGUGUUAGGGGGUUUCCGCCCCUUAGUGCUGCAGCUAACGCAUUAAGCACUCCGCCUGGGGAGUACGGUCGCAAGACUGAAACUCAAAGGAAUUGACGGGGGCCCGCACAAGCGGUGGAGCAUGUGGUUUAAUUCGAAGCAACGCGAAGAACCUUACCAGGUCUUGACAUGCUCUGACAAUCCUAGAGAUAGGACGUCCCCUUCGGGGGCAGAGUGACAGGUGGUGCAUGGUUGUCGUCAGCUCGUGUCGUGAGAUGUUGGGUUAAGUCCCGCAACGAGCGCAACCCUUGAUCUUAGUUGCCAGCAUUCAGUUGGGCACUCUAAGGUGACUGCCGGUGACAAACCGGAGGAAGGUGGGGAUGACGUCAAAUCAUCAUGCCCCUUAUGACCUGGGCUACACACGUGCUACAAUGGACAGAACAAAGGGCAGCGAAACCGCGAGGUUAAGCCAAUCCCACAAAUCUGUUCUCAGUUCGGAUCGCAGUCUGCAACUCGACUGCGUGAAGCUGGAAUCGCUAGUAAUCGCGGAU